RNAcentral lists this long non-coding RNA (1794 nucleotides) under Mus musculus (house mouse). Its description in RNAcentral is "long non-coding RNA chr19:48803704-48805498". The record is from RNAcentral. Lineage: Eukaryota; Metazoa; Chordata; Mammalia; Rodentia; Muridae.
AAUCACCUUCCCCACUUUUUAUUUUUGAUGACUACUACUACUAUUAUUAUGGAAAAAUGAAAAUGUCUUUUUUUAAUCUUUUGUUUACCGUCAUAAAUAGUAAGCAGAUGCUUAGCUUUGGGAGGCAAAAAAAAAAAAAAAAAAAAAAAAAAGGCAUUCUUAGGCGAUCAUAAAGGGAUGAAGGAAUAUAUGGUUGUAUUUGUAUUAAGAAUGCUUUUUCCCACGGGUUUCUUGCUUUACUCUGCUGUCAGGAGAGCAAGGUUCUUCUUGUGUCGUUCUGACUUUUUUGAGUUGGGUUUUUGUUAACUUCAUCCUUCCUUACUCCUCCCAUGCUCCACACUACAUACACAUACAACACAGACCAUUCCCCAGUUCAAUUGCAGGACGUAGGUUGAGGGGGAGUGGACGUAGCUGCCAAAGGCGCGCACACCUUUCCGAAAGAGGCCCUGCCUCAUGCAUGUCGAAACUGAGGCUAAAGAUGGUGUAUUGUAUAUAACUACAAUGUAAAUAGCUUUUUAUUUCCUAAGAAAUAAUUUAAUGUUUAGUAAAAAAGAAAACAGAAAAAAAGAAAGAUGUGUGUGUUGGCUUCUGCACUCACCUUCAGAGCUGACCGCCCCCCAGCCUGCCUGAUGUGUUGGAUUCUGGAUGCUCUCCAGCUGUCUUUCACACUCAACUCUUGCGUCUCUGUCCACACCAUAGCCUGUUUCUGCUUAUGUAUAUAAAGGGCAUGGGGGAGGGCUUCUUCAGGGCAAUUGACAAAGGAAGGACUUCAGUGGCGUUCAGGAACAUGGGGGUUGUUUUUCUUCCUAGGAUAACAUGGAAGGAGUCACAAAGACUAGUAGAGACUUCAAACUCUCAUAAAGAAAUAAAGAAAAAAAAGGUAUUUAUCAGCCUGAGAAAGCAGUCCUCUCGAAGGAAGCAGCAAGGAAUCUAAAGAUCCUGUCACUCUGUUUUCUAAUUGGAUUUCGUGGAUAUGUGCAUUGCCCAUGGGGAGCCGCCCAGCUGUUCUGAGCUCAGAACAUUCCCUGGGCAUUAUGUGAGGUCCAGUGAGCACCACCUGGCAUGACAAGAAUCAGAGAGGCUUGGAAGGGAUUUCCCACUUGUGGAAUCCCGAGUCUGUGCAAACCCUGCAGGCCAAACAAAGAUCUAGUCUUUAAUGAUAUUAGUCGGAGUGAUUUUAGCAAAGCUGUGCUUUUUGCUUGUCAGAUGUACACAACUUCCUUAAAGUCAGAUGUCGGCCUUCAGUUCCCUUAAGGUAGUUCCCUCCCCUCUGGGGUGAAUGGCUUUCCUAGCACCCCAGCCCCUCCAACUGUUUAACAUGCCAAUUCUUUUCAGUAGGAUCACCUUACACCAUGCUGCGAGCAUCGUUUUCAUUUUUGGGCUCUGCCUGUGCACACUUGUUUCAAAGAAUGAUAUACUGUAUAUAUAUAUAUAUGUGUGUGUGUGAGAAGAAAGGCCACAUUUUGUACCUGUUAACCCUCAUGGGAUGCUGUUCAUAUUCCUCUUUGUGAGACACAGGGAGAAUGUGAUAGAGACAUCCAGCUGGCUGCAGCAUAGGUCAGUAUCAGAAGGGUUUCUAAAGACCCUUCUUUUUCAUUUCAAGGGUUAAAUGGGGCAGACAAUUGCAAUUUGUGUACUAAAUACUGGAAUACAGUGCAUGAGUCAUAUCUAUAUAUAUAUACAGUAUAUGUACAUAUACUGUUCUUGGUUUUACUGUUCCAUUUGAAUAUUUCUACUGUAAAAAAAAAGACAGUGGUUUUGAAAUUGUUGAAAAUAAAUGUAUUUUUGUACAUC